GUGUCAGCAGCCGCGGUAAGACGAACCGUGCGAACGUUGUUCGGAAUCACUGGGCUUAAAGGGCGCGUAGGCGGGUGUGCAAGUCUGUGGUGAAAGCCUCCAGCUUAACUGGAGAAGUGCCAUGGAUACUGCACAUCUUGAGGAGGGUAGGGGCAUCUGGAACGGUCGGUGGAGCGGUGAAAUGCGUUGAUAUCGACCGGAACUCCGGUGGCGAAGGCGAGGUGCUGGACCCUUUCUGACGCUGAGGCGCGAAAGCCAGGGGAGCAAACGGGAUUAGAUACCCCGGUAGUCC
Molecule: ribosomal RNA, 292 nt
Filed under: uncultured bacterium
Lineage: Bacteria
Description: partial 16S ribosomal RNA
Rfam family: Bacterial small subunit ribosomal RNA
Source: RNAcentral